GGCCUCCCAAUGCCUGGCAGUUCAAUGUGUAUGUUUUUGGUGACAUUUGACAUUCUUAAACCCACCACGAGAUAAAGCCCCAACCUUAAUAAAAGGGGAGAGAAGAAAUCCUUUUUUUGGUGAUGAGUUCCCCCAGUCAGCUCUCAGACUGGCACUGAUGACAGAAGAAUGGCUUUGAGAGAAAACCACAGGUCUAACCAUAACUGAAGUAGAUCCAGAGAAUCUGGUUGCACCUGAGGAGUAAGAAGCCACCAUGAAGGGGAAGGCAAAGAGUGAAUUCAAGGGUGAUCAUUCCUGGCCCCACCACCUUUGGGAUUUGUACCUGACGCAGCCUUGUGUGUGGACAUCUCCAGCACAGACAGCUAGCUUCCUGCCCACGGCAUCCUGCUCCCCAAACUCUGCUUUGUCCUUGUGAGCCCUUUGCUCAAAGCCCCAGUGACUCCUCAUCACCUGAAGAAAUGAUGCUGCCCC
Mustela erminea (ermine) is the source of this 471-nucleotide long non-coding RNA. RefSeq lists it as uncharacterized. Lineage: Eukaryota; Metazoa; Chordata; Mammalia; Carnivora; Mustelidae. The record is from RefSeq and is a predicted model, not a curated record. The transcript is spliced from 4 exons.